ACAAGUGAGUCAAUAACGAAAUGACUCACUUGCAGAAUGCUCCGACUGACUCACAUAGUUGUAAAAAAUGAGUCAAGAUCGGCGAUUGACUCAUUUACAAAAAAAAUGAGUCAAGAAUAAAGCCGUGCGCGCAUGCGCUACUUGCACGCUAUGACGUCAACCAUCGCGCGAACCAUUCCCGUUUGACGUCGCCAUUGCUGAAUUGGAUCAAGAGAAUACUGGCUACUGGAAGAAGUCACUACGCAACAGAUUCAGGAAUUGCAGGAAGUGUCAUGAACGUGAUAAUCCAUUAGGACAAAUGGAAGCAAAAAAAGGGGACUACACCCAAACCAGACAAAGCUGCAGGCAAACACACGUAUGGCAUAAAGAAAGUACCUUCCUGCAUCCCCAGAAGGUGAGGAUGAAGAAACGAUCAAUGCUCACAUCAAGAUGCUUCAGAAUGAAUCCAGAAAAACAAGACAGGACAGCUUGAUGAUAGACAACCUACUAACUUUAGCCCAUAGGCGCAAGGGUAUCAUCAACAGCAACUGGACUGAAUCCUACUUGAAGGAUAUGUACCCUUACCUUUUCCAUGAAGAUGAGAGAAACAUAAGACUGCCCUGUUUAAAUUCCCUGUUUAUUCUUUUCAUUUGAUGUUGAAAGAGAUUGAGAGACUGUCAGAGGACCCAAUUAAGCAGAAGUUGGAAGCAGGACAUUUGAAUAUGCUGAUCCAUUACUAGAGAUAUGUAAGACUCCCAAGCAAGGUUUGGAGCUCAAAAACCUAAUCUUGGCUGCAGCAGCAGAAAAUGAAGACACCAGGAAAAUGAUCAAAUCAUGUGGAGCACUUCUGUUGAUUCCUACUAUUUUUGGAGAGAAGGCAUUGCUUUGUCAGCAUAGCCAGG
Molecule: long non-coding RNA, 881 nt
Organism: Lytechinus variegatus (green sea urchin)
Lineage: Eukaryota; Metazoa; Echinodermata; Echinoidea; Temnopleuroida; Toxopneustidae
Exons: 4
Source: RefSeq, a predicted model, not a curated record